UGAAUACGAGAUGCUACGGCGUCGAAGCAGUCUAUGUCAUACUUCCAAGAAAAGCUUGCACUGUCAUAAACAAAUAAUGCCUGUACCAUAACCGACACAGGUGGGUAGGUAGAGUAUACUAAGGGGCGCGAGAUAACUCUCUCUAAGGAACUCGGCAAAAUGACUCCGUAACUUCGGGAGAAGGAGUGCCUUAUUUAUAAGGUUGCAAUAACAAGAUCCAAGCAACUGUUUACCAAAAACACAGGUCUCCGCUAAGUCGUAAGACGAUGUAUGGGGGCUGACGCCUGCCCAGUGCCAGAAGGUUAAAGAAGUUGGUUAGCAUCCGCGAAGCUGAUAACUGAAGCCCUGGUGAACGGCGGCCGUAACUAUAACGGUCCUAAGGUAGCGAAAUUCCUUGUCGGGUAAGUUCCGACCCGCACGAAAGGCGUAAUGAUUUGGAUACUGUCUCGGAGAGGGGCUCGGUGAAAUAGACUUGUCUGUGAAGAUGCGGACUACCUGCACCAGGACAGAAAGACCCUAUGAAGCUUUACUGUAACCUGAAAUUGAAAUUGGACUUUACUUGCGCAGUAUAGGUGGGAGGCGUUGAGAAUAUUCUUGCGGGAUUAUUGGAGCCAUCAGUGAGAUACCACUCUUGUAAUGUUAGAUUUCUAACUUUGUAUCAUUAUCUGGUCAAAGAACAGUUUCAGGCGGGCAGUUUGACUGGGGCGGUCGCCUCCUAAACGGUAACGGAGGCGCACAAAGGUUUCCUCUGAACGGGUAGAAAUCGUAUCUAGAGUGUAAAGGCAUAAGGAAGCUUGACUGUGAGACCUACAAGUCGAGCAGGGACGAAAGUCGGUCUUAGUGAUCUGACGGUGCUGAGUGGAAAGGCCGUCACUCAACGGAUAAAAGUUACUCUAGGAUAACAGGCUGAUCUCCCCCAAGAGUUCACAUCGACGGGGAGGUUUGGCACCUCGAUGUCGGCUCAUCGCAUCCUGGGGCGGUAGUACGUCCCAAGGGUUGGGCUGUUCGCCCAUGAAAGCGGUACGCGAGCUGGGUUCAGAACGUCGUGAGACAGUUCGGUCCAUAUCCGGUGUAGGCGUUAGAAUAUUGAGAGGAGCCUUCUUUAGUACGAGAGGACCGAGAAGGACAUACCUCUGGUGUACCAGUUAUCGUGCCAACGGUAAACGCUGGGUAGCUAUGUGUGGAGUGGAUAACCGCUGAAAGCAUCUAAGUGGGAAGCCCACCUCAAGAUAAGUA
RNAcentral lists this ribosomal RNA (1236 nucleotides) under metagenome. Its description in RNAcentral is "bacterial LSU rRNA". It matches the Rfam family "Bacterial large subunit ribosomal RNA", at positions 1564 to 2810 of the family's 2925-position model. The record is from RNAcentral.